GAUGAACGCUGGCGGCGUGCUUAACACAUGCCAGUCGAACGGAAAGGCCCAAGCUUGCUUGGGUACUCGAGUGGCGAACGGGUGAGUAACACGUGGGUGAUCUGCCCUGCACUUCGGGAUAAGCCUGGGAAACUGGGUCUAAUACCGGAUAGGACGAUGGUUUGGAUGCCAUUGUGGAAAGUUUUUUCGGUGUGGGAUGAGCUCGCGGCCUAUCAGCUUGUUGGUGGGGUAAUGGCCUACCAAGGCGUCGACGGGUAGCCGGCCUGAGAGGGUGUACGGCCACAUUGGGACUGAGAUACGGCCCAGACUCCUACGGGAGGCAGCAGUGGGGAAUAUUGCACAAUGGGCACAAGCCUGAUGCAGCGACGCCGCGUGGGGGAUGACGGCCUUCGGGUUGUAAACUCCUUUCGCUAGGGACGAAGCGUUUUUGUGACGGUACCUGGAGAAGAAGCACCGGCUAACUACGUG
This 468-nucleotide ribosomal RNA is filed under the name uncultured bacterium. Its description in RNAcentral is "partial 16S ribosomal RNA". It matches the Rfam family "Bacterial small subunit ribosomal RNA", at positions 28 to 507 of the family's 1533-position model. The record is from RNAcentral.